CGCCCGGAUUCAUUUGAAUGAGGGACAACAUCACAGUAAACGGGAAUGAAGUGUGAUUUAACGGCAGAACGAGCCUUUCACGGCAAAAACAACAAGCCAUCUGAACCUGAACCUUUACCCUUAACCCUGGACCCUGUACCUGUCUGCCUGCCUGCUUUCCAUGAACCUGAUCUGGGCCUGCAACUGUAGCUCCCAGCCUGCUUCCCAGUCCACUAGCCUCCUGUCCUAAUCUGGUCUCCACUGUCCUGUCACUGGCCACCAUACCCCUCCAUCACCAGCCUCCUUCCUCUGGUAUCCAGCGGUUCAGCUGUGUAGCACCCUGCCCUGAUCUGAAGCUGGAUAUUCUGCUGCCAGCUGCCUUUCCUGACCUACAGCCUCCUGCUCGCCCUCCAGAGCAACUCUGCCUCCAGGCUACCAUCCAGAGCGGCUCCAUCCAUCUGCCCUGA
Epinephelus fuscoguttatus (brown-marbled grouper) is the source of this 446-nucleotide long non-coding RNA. RefSeq lists it as uncharacterized. NCBI's taxonomy places the organism in Eukaryota, Metazoa, Chordata, Actinopteri, Perciformes, Serranidae. The transcript is spliced from 3 exons. The record is from RefSeq and is a predicted model, not a curated record.